GGAAGUGGUAGCUCAGUGGUGAGGACAUUGGACUUCUGAUCUGAAGGUUGAGAGUUCAAAUCUCAGCACCACCA
This is a non-coding RNA of Ameiurus melas (black bullhead), 74 nucleotides long. NCBI's taxonomy places the organism in Eukaryota, Metazoa, Chordata, Actinopteri, Siluriformes, Ictaluridae. The record is from the annotation of a GenBank genome assembly.